GUUAGUAUAGUUUAAACAAAACGUUAGAUUGUGAUUCUAAAAAUAGGAGUUAAAACCUCUUUAUUUACC
RNAcentral lists this transfer RNA (69 nucleotides) under Halosauropsis macrochir (abyssal halosaur). RNAcentral's name for it is "tRNA-His". It matches the Rfam family "tRNA". From Rfam's summary of the family: Transfer RNA (tRNA) molecules are approximately 80 nucleotides in length. Their secondary structure includes four short double-helical elements and three loops (D, anti-codon, and T loops). RNAcentral also lists the same sequence under 1 other name. The record is from RNAcentral. Lineage: Eukaryota; Metazoa; Chordata; Actinopteri; Notacanthiformes; Halosauridae.